GAAAGAGACACAGGCAAGAAUCUGCCCACCACCCCAACGAAGUUCGUAGCUUACCAAAUUCCAGAUUCAGGGGGCAUAGAGUUUGCUUAUUACUCACCUCCACCUGGAUAUUGAGACCAGUGUGUCUCCGUGGAACUGAGUGCCGCUGACUGGUCUCAGUGGGUACUACACCCUGAGCUGGUGGGUUUUGCCAGCAGUGGACAAGAGCACAGAAGACAUUACUUCAUCUUGUUACACACACUCCCCUCUCUGCAGUCAGUGACUGGUAAAUACUUUGAAGAUGUAGCAAAAUUUACCAGAUGAAAGACGGAAAAGAUCUUCUAAGGAAAGAAGCCCUCGAGAAUGAGACUGAAUUUUUCCUCACCACUCUGAAAUUAGAUAUGACCAUGUGACUAUUCUGGCUGACAAAAUGGGAAUAUAGAUGGUCUGUGACAUUUUAAAACCAAAUCAUGACACUUCUGGUGUUUGGCUCUCAAGCUGCCUCUUGCCCUGCCAUGGUGGCUGAAGAGAUUUUGGUAUCUAAAUGAUGCAGUUACAUGAUCAUGGAGACUUAGUCAUCAUAUCUUCUCUCUGUGGCCACAAGAGACAACACAGGUUCCUUUAGGGUCAAGUAUAGAAGAUUUCAGGUCUUUAAUGCAGAGCUUGAGUUUCUGUGGGUCAGGGAUACAGCUAUGGCCUAGCUGGGUUCUCGGCUUCCGGGUCUAUCAUGAGGCUGAAAUCGAGGCAUCAUCAGUGGUUGAAGUCACAGAUGAAAGCUCAGCAGGGUCCUGAGAACACUCUAUCAGUCCUACUUUAGCCACCAAUCUGCAUGGUGGACAGAGGAUGAUCUGAUUUCCAUAGAGACAAAAACACAGCAGACAAAGAAUACAGCUCCAAACACAGCUAGAAAUACAGGGCAAGAGAUUCAGCUCAGGUCCACCCAUCAGAGCGCGCCGUAUCAAACACCCAGGUCUGCAGUCCACCAGCUUCCAAUAAUGCCAUCUGACUGGAGUGAUGAUUUCAUCAGGCACUUUGAUAAGCCGAUGUAUCUUUUCUCACAGUUUACAGGCAAUUUUUGUCCACUUCCAGCAAUUCUGAAAACUGUAGAUAUUUGCCUAUCUGCCCAGUGGGCACAAGUAACUGGUAACAGUCUCACAAAAUUCCUGUGUACUUAGUAGCAGGUGGUUGAUAUCACAGGAAGAUCUUCUCUUUAUCAGGCACUUACCAGGCCUAAAGUCUGUUCUUCCAGGAAAUUACACACCCUCUCAUUUUACAGUGAAUAACAUUAACAUACAUACAUUUAGGAGCCAUCGUACAUAAAAUAGAAGCCAAAAUACAUGUGGCUUAAUCUGAAUCCUUUCAUAGUGUUUUAUGUAUUUUAAAUCACAGUAAAUUUCUU
Non-coding RNA from Equus caballus (horse), 1378 nucleotides. NCBI's taxonomy places the organism in Eukaryota, Metazoa, Chordata, Mammalia, Perissodactyla, Equidae. The record is from RefSeq and is a predicted model, not a curated record.